AUACGGAGGGUGCAAGCGUUGUUCGGAAUCACUGGGCGUAAAGGGCGCGCAGGCGGUUUGGUAAGUCAGAUGUGAAAGCCCACGGCUCAACCGUGGAAGUGCAUUUGAAACUGCCAGACUUGAGUACCAGAGGGGAAAGUGGAAUUCCCGGUGUAGAGGUGAAAUUCGUAGAUAUCAGGAGGAAUACCGGUGGCGAAGGCGACUUUCUGGCUGGAUACUGACGCUCAGGCGCGAAAGCAUGGGGAGCAAACAGGAUUAGAAACCCUAGUAGUCC
This 274-nucleotide ribosomal RNA is filed under the name uncultured bacterium. RNAcentral describes it as "partial 16S ribosomal RNA". It matches the Rfam family "Bacterial small subunit ribosomal RNA", at positions 523 to 796 of the family's 1533-position model. The record is from RNAcentral.